GGAGAGAUGGCUCAGCGGUUAAGAGCACUAGGUGCUCUUCCAGAGGUCCUGAGUUCGAGUCUCAGCAACCCCA
Molecule: transfer RNA, 73 nt
Organism: Neotoma lepida (desert woodrat)
Lineage: Eukaryota; Metazoa; Chordata; Mammalia; Rodentia; Cricetidae
Rfam family: tRNA
About the family: Transfer RNA (tRNA) molecules are approximately 80 nucleotides in length.
Source: Rfam